This 550-nucleotide ribosomal RNA is filed under the name uncultured bacterium. RNAcentral's name for it is "bacterial SSU rRNA". It matches the Rfam family "Bacterial small subunit ribosomal RNA", at positions 355 to 895 of the family's 1533-position model. The record is from RNAcentral.
UAGGGAAUCUUCGGCAAUGGACGGAANNNUGGACCGAGCAACCNCGCGUGAGUGAAGAAGGUUUUCGGAUCGUAAAGCUCUGUUGUAAGAGAAGAACGAGUGUGAGAGUGGAAAGUUCACACUGUGACGGUAUCUUACCAGAAAGGGACGGCUAACUACGUGCCAGCAGCCGCGGUAAUACGUAGGUCCCGAGCGUUGUCCGGAUUUAUUGGGCGUAAAGCGAGCGCAGGCGGUUAGAUAAGUCUGAAGUUAAAGGCUGUGGCUUAACCAUAGUACGCUUUGGAAACUGUUUAACUUGAGUGCAAGAGGGGAGAGUGGAAUUCCAUGUGUAGCGGUGAAAUGCGUAGAUAUAUGGAGGAACACCGGUGGCGAAAGCGGCUCUCUGGCUUGUAACUGACGCUGAGGCUCGAAAGCGUGGGGAGCAAACAGGAUUAGAUACCCUGGUAGUCCACGCCGUAAACGAUGAGUGCUAGGUGUUAGACCCUUUCCGGGGUUUAGUGCCGCAGCUAACGCAUUAAGCACUCCGCCUGGGGAGUACGACCGCAAGNUG